This is a long non-coding RNA of Austrofundulus limnaeus, 667 nucleotides long. RefSeq lists it as uncharacterized. The transcript is spliced from 2 exons. The record is from RefSeq and is a predicted model, not a curated record. NCBI's taxonomy places the organism in Eukaryota, Metazoa, Chordata, Actinopteri, Cyprinodontiformes, Rivulidae.
CUGAUCUCCUGGAUUAAAGAUCUGUCUCGAUUAUUUCCAGAUGGUUCUGUGAUGUCUGUUUAUGUUGCUGUAAUCCGUGCAGGAGGACCAAAUGAUAAGAUGACUGAUGAAGCGGUACUCUUCAUCUGAAGCGAUGUUUUCUUCAAAUCAAGUGUUGAGAACAGCAUACUCCUACUUUGACCAGAAUACUGCAAUUAUAACAAAACAGGGCUUUUGAUAACAAGAUCUGUCUUUUUGAAAUGGUUUAUAUUUAUUUUAUGCCUUUAUUUGAACCUUAAAAGAUAUUUUUAAAUAAGAUGUUAUUUUUUUAUUGAUAUUCUCUAGUAUAUUUCAAUAAGCUAAAAAUCUUUGUUUAUUUACUGUACGUCACAUCAGAUGCAGUUUAAUGUUUGGCCACUGGAGGUCAGUGUUGGACCAUAAAAAUCUGUUUACAAGCCCUUUUUUAUUUUUUCUAUCACUGGACCAGCAUCUUGCGGUUUUUUUUUAUAGCAUCAUUAUUUUCAUUGUUUGAAGUGAUGUAUGUCAGGAGAACACGUAAAUGUCAUGUGAGAAAUAUUUCACUGAAACAUGAAUCUCUGUCUGACAGAGGUCAUGGGUUCAGAUUGAUCCUGUGAGAAACGUAAAAGUUGUUAAUUUGGAAAUAAAACAAUAAGAUUGAGAAACUUUA